GCUGGACGUGGUGGCUCACGCCUGUAAUCCCAGUGGCUUGGGAGGCUGAGGCAGGAGGAUCCUGAGUUCAAAGCCAGCCACAGCAAAAUCAAGGCACUAAGCAACUCAGUGAGACCCUGUUUCUA
This 125-nucleotide small RNA is filed under the name Marmota monax (woodchuck). The record is from RNAcentral. Lineage: Eukaryota; Metazoa; Chordata; Mammalia; Rodentia; Sciuridae.